RNAcentral lists this ribosomal RNA (470 nucleotides) under uncultured bacterium. RNAcentral describes it as "bacterial SSU rRNA". It matches the Rfam family "Bacterial small subunit ribosomal RNA", at positions 1 to 507 of the family's 1533-position model. The record is from RNAcentral.
ACACGACUACGUAGUUUGAUCAGUGGCUACAGGACGAACGCUGGCGGUGUGCUUCACACAUGCAAGUCGAACGAGGUAGCAAUACCUAGUGGCGGACGGGUGAGUAACGCGUGGGAAUCUGCCUUUAGAUGGGGGAUAACGGGUCGAAAGACUCGCUAAUACCGCAUAUGACGAAAGUUGAAAGGAGUAAUCCGUCUAAAGAUGAGCCCGCGUCCGAUUAGCUAGUUGGUAGAGUAAAAGCCUACCAAGGCGACGAUCGGUAGCUGGUCUGAGAGGAUGAUCAGCCACAAUGGGACUGAGACACGGCCCAUACUCCUACGGGAGGCAGCAGUGGGGAAUUUUACGCAAUGGGCGAAAGCCUGACGUAGCGACACCGCGUGAGCGAAGAAGCCCCUUGGGGUGUAAAGCUCUGUCAGCUGGAACGAAAAAAAUGGACGGUACCAGCAGAGGAAGCAUCGGCUAACUACGUG